GGGUACGCGACCCCUCGGGGCCGGGGUCCCGGCCCCCCCUCCCCGCGCGCAGCCGCAGGGUCCUCAGCAGCGCGCUCGGGCCCGGCAGUGACGUCACUGUCCCCGUCCCGCGCCCCCUCCCCCAGGCCACCCGUACAUCAUGACCGUGGGCUGCGUGGCGGGCGACGAGGAGUCCUACGAAGUGUUCAAGGAUCUCUUCGACCCCAUCAUCGAGGACCGGCACGGCGGCUACAAGCCCAGCGAUGAGCACAAGACCGACCUCAACCCCGACAACCUGCAGGUGCGGGGCGGCGGGCGGGCCGGGCGGGCGGUGCCGGGGUCUUCGGGCGCUCACUCCCGUCUCGCCCCCCAGGGCGGCGACGACCUGGACCCCAACUACGUGCUGAGCUCGCGGGUGCGCACGGGCCGCAGCAUCCGUGGCUUCUGCCUCCCCCCGCACUGCAGCCGCGGGGAGCGCCGCGCCAUCGAGAAGCUCGCGGUGGAAGCCCUGUCCAGCCUGGACGGCGACCUGGCGGGCCGGUACUACGCGCUCAAGAGUAUGACGGAGGCGGAGCAGCAGCAGCUCAUCGACGACCACUUCCUCUUCGACAAGCCCGUGUCGCCCCUGCUGCUGGCCUCGGGCAUGGCCCGCGACUGG
Molecule: small RNA, 637 nt
Filed under: Pan troglodytes (chimpanzee)
Lineage: Eukaryota; Metazoa; Chordata; Mammalia; Primates; Hominidae
Description: retained intron
Source: RNAcentral